UUCUGUAAGCCUGUGAAGGUGUGUCGUGAGGCAUGCUGGAGGUAUCAGAAGUGCGAAUGCUGACAUAAGUAACGAUAAAGCGGGUGAAAAGCCCGCUCGCCGGAAGACCAAGGGUUCCUGUCCAACGUUAAUCGGGGCAGGGUGAGUCGACCCCUAAGGCGAGGCCGAAAGGCGUAGUCGAUGGGAAACGGGUUAAUAUUCCCGUACUUGGUGUUACUGCGAAGGGGGGACGGAGAAGGCUAUGUUGGCCGGGCGACGGUUGUCCCGGUUUAAGCGUGUAGGUGUGUGUUCCAGGUAAAUCCGGUUCACUUUAACACUGAGGCGUGAUGACGAGGCACUACGGUGCUGAAGCAACAAAUGCCCUGCUUCCAGGAAAAGCCUCUAAGCAUCAGGUAACAUCAAAUCGUACCCCAAACCGACACAGGUGGUCAGGUAGAGAAUACCAAGGCGCUUGAGAGAACUCGGGUGAAGGAACUAGGCAAAAUGGUGCCGUAACUUCGGGAGAAGGCACGCUGACACGUAGGUGAAGUGAUUUACUCAUGGAGCUGAAGUCAGUCGAAGAUACCAGCUGGCUGCAACUGUUUAUUAAAAACACAGCACUGUGCAAACACGAAAGUGGACGUAUACGGUGUGACGCCUGCCCGGUGCCGGAAGGUUAAUUGAUGGGGUCAGCGCAAGCGAAGCUCCUGAUCGAAGCCCCGGUAAACGGCGGCCGUAACUAUAACGGUCCUAAGGUAGCGAAAUUCCUUGUCGGGUAAGUUCCGACCUGCACGAAUGGCGUAAUGAUGGCCAGGCUGUCUCCACCCGAGACUCAGUGAAAUUGAACUCGCUGUGAAGAUGCAGUGUACCCGCGGCAAGACGGAAAGACCCCGUGAACCUUUACUAUAGCUUGACACUGAACAUUGAGCCUUGAUGUGUAGGAUAGGUGGGAGGCUUUGAAGCGUGGACGCCAGUCUGCGUGGAGCCGACCUUGAAAUACCACCCUUUAAUGUUUGAUGUUCUAACGUGGACCCGUGAUCCGGGUUGCGGACAGUGUCUGGUGGGUAGUUUGACUGGGGCGGUCUCCUCC
Molecule: ribosomal RNA, 1069 nt
Filed under: Salmonella enterica subsp. enterica serovar Thompson
Lineage: Bacteria; Pseudomonadati; Pseudomonadota; Gammaproteobacteria; Enterobacterales; Enterobacteriaceae
Description: partial 23S ribosomal RNA
Rfam family: Bacterial large subunit ribosomal RNA
Source: RNAcentral